CAGAGGAUAGUUUAUUAAUAAAAAUAUUAAUUUUGGAAAUUAAUGAUAAGAAUUUCUUUCCUUUGA
Molecule: transfer RNA, 66 nt
Filed under: Arria pallida
Lineage: Eukaryota; Metazoa; Arthropoda; Insecta; Mantodea; Haaniidae
Description: tRNA-Pro
Rfam family: tRNA
About the family: Transfer RNA (tRNA) molecules are approximately 80 nucleotides in length.
Source: RNAcentral